Non-coding RNA from Pelobates cultripes (western spadefoot toad), 747 nucleotides. The record is from the annotation of a GenBank genome assembly. Lineage: Eukaryota; Metazoa; Chordata; Amphibia; Anura; Pelobatidae.
GUCAGUGUCAGUCAGUCAGUGAGUCAGUGUCAGUCAGUCAGUGUCAGUCAGUCUCAGUGCCAGUCUCAGUGCCAGUCUCAGUGCCAGUCUCAGUGCCAGUCUCAGUGCCAGUCUCAGUGUCAGUGUCAGUCUCAGUGCCAGUCAGUCUGUCUGUCUGUCAGUCUGUCUGUCAGUGUGUCAGUCUGUCUGCCUGCCUGCGUCAGUCAGUCUGUGUCUGUCAGUCUGUGUCUGUCAGUCUGUGUCUGUCAGUCUGUGUCUGUCAGUCUGUGUCUGUCAGUCUGUGUCUGUCAGUCUGUGUCAGUCUGUCUGUGUCAGUGUCAGUCUGUGUCAGUGUCAGUCUGUGUCAGUGUCAGUCUGUGUCAGUGUCAGUCUGUGUCAGUGUCAGUCUGUCUGUCUGUGUCUGUCAGUCUGUGUCAGUGAUAGAAGUGACAGCUCAGGGAGUUACCUUGAAUGCCCCUCUCUUCGCUUUACAGAUGGGGGUCCUCCUGCCAUGUACUAACACUACAUCGUGCGCGGUGUCCCCGGGGGCGGCGGUGCUCUCUGCUCUCAGUCCGCGGUGGGUGGCCGCCGGUAGGUGACCCAGUACUACCCUCACUCUGUGCAUGUUCUCCCAGCGACUGAGCUCACAGCGCGCGGCACCUGCAAUACCUCGGCAUCACGUGACACUGCAAGCACCAAUCACCAAUCACCGCCACUCAGCAAGGCUUCCGGGUCCGCCCUCCGGUUACCCUGACAACCGAGUGAGGG